ACUACUACAACUACUAAGCCUACAACCACAACAACUAAGCCUGCAACUACAACCACCCAUUUUUGUUUGUAUUGUUAAUGUUAUAAUGAAGGAUUACAAAAAAAAUUUAGUUUUCCCUUAGGUUUGGCAAAUUUGUUAUCCUAACAAAUAAGGAUUUUUUAACGGGGAGGCACAUUUUUUCCAUUUUGACCUCAAGAUGAAGAGAAUGCGUGCUGUUGUUGAUUUGAAAUUUUCGACAAUUCGACAAUCGUAAAAUUAAUUUAUAUGGAGCGUCAAUGGCCAAAAGUCUAAUUCAUAUACAUAACCAGUGUGUUGGAUUUGGGGCCAUCAAAUCACUCAAAUCCAAAUCAAAUCCGAAAAAUUUGAGGAUUUGGAUUGGAUUUCCCAAUGUGGGAAAAGGCAGUGAUUUGAUUUGGAUUUGACGCAAAAUGUCAUAAAAAUCAAAUCAAUUUCAAAUCCAAAUCCAAAUCAUUAAGAGUAACUUAACCAAUGGCCCACCAGAGGUCUGACUUCGCUGACGUCUACUGACCUGACUUGACUUCUGGCUUAUUUGAGCUCAUAUUCCUUCACACGUUGAGUAUCUGAAUUCUGUGUUUUUAUUUUAAUGUAAUUCUGAGUGAAUUUUCUGCAGGUAUAAAUGUUUAAUUAAUAUUUUUACUUUCUGUUCGGUUUUAUACAUGUUCCCAUUUUGGCAUUUUCCUUUUUGGUUUGGUCUUUUCAAUAGACCACUAUUCCACUAAGUUAACGUGACUGUAGGACCUCGUGAUUGUGCCAACUUUGCAAUCUACAUCUAUCAAUUACAUCAAAGAUUCAAAGACAAUUAAUAAAGAUUAGUUUGGUCUACUACUAGCUUAUGUAUCUUUCUGUUGUACAUGGUGUUACUGCGAGCCAAUUGAAAUCAGUUGGAAUUCUGAUUGCGACUAAUUAGCCAGGUCUAGUUCUGUUAGUUUAGUUUACCUACAUCAAGAAUGAGUAGGGGAGAACGGGGUCAACUUGGACACGGGUCAUAUUGGACAAAGACCCUAAG
Molecule: long non-coding RNA, 1027 nt
Filed under: Daphnia magna
Lineage: Eukaryota; Metazoa; Arthropoda; Branchiopoda; Diplostraca; Daphniidae
Description: uncharacterized LOC116936260, transcript variant X2
Source: RNAcentral